Trichomycterus rosablanca is the source of this 1411-nucleotide long non-coding RNA. RefSeq lists it as uncharacterized. Lineage: Eukaryota; Metazoa; Chordata; Actinopteri; Siluriformes; Trichomycteridae. The record is from RefSeq and is a predicted model, not a curated record. The transcript has 3 exons.
AUGAAGAGUUUUAAAUUCAGGUAGCAGAUGUGAUUAGUAGUCUCUGAGGGGAAGGGGAGUGGGAUAUGGAUUUACCACCUUACUAAAGCAUCGACCGUUACUGAAGAAUACAGAGAGAGUAGUGUGGUCCUCCGUGUGUGCUAUCUUGCAGAGGACCAGAGGACACCCAAUUGCACAGAGAGAUUUAGCAUUGCCCAUAAAAAAGAGGCUUUUGGCUCUGGCCCUCUGUACCCAGGGGACUCGUCCAGUUCUGUUUUUUCCCACAUCAGGUCAGAGAUCUACAUGAUUCAGCCCAGCCAGCUCUGAGGGGGGCAUGAGAGUUUCAAUCUGGUUGUAAUGAGUCUGGUGCCAACUGGAAACACACACUCACACAUUCGAUCACUGCAGCCAAGUUCAUACAGCCAAUUCAUCUUCUGCAUGUUUUAGAAGGUGGGAGGUGAACAAAGUACCCAGAGAAACCCUACAUUACUGGAAUUGAGGGCAGCACGGUGGCACAGUGGGUAGCGCUGUCACCUCACAGCAAGAAGGUCUUGGGUUUGGGCAGUUGUAGCCCAGUGAUUAAGGUACUGGACUAGUAAUCAAAAGAUCGCUGGUUCAAGCCCCACCACUGCCAGGUUGCCACUGUUGGGCCCUUGAGCAAGGUCCUUAACCCUCAAUUGCUUAGACAAUAUACUGUCACAGUACUGUAAGGCACUUUGAAUAAAAGCGUCUGCUAAAUGCUGAAAAUGUAAAUGUUUCCCCAGCCGGUGGUCCAGGUCUUUUCUGUGUUGAAUUUGCAUGUUCUCCUUGUGUCCAUGUGGGUUUCCUCUGGGUGCUCCGGUUUCCUUUCACAGCUCAAAGACGUGCAGUCAGGACAACUGGAGAUAUUAAAAAGUGUGUUAAUGCCCUUGUGAUGGCCUGGCGAACUGUUCGGGGUGUUUUCUGCCUUUCGGCUAACGAAUCAGACCCACCGCAGCCUGACCAGGAUGAAACAGUGGAAAAACAAUUAAUAAACAAAUGAAUUCAUUUCUUUUUGCUUUGUUUCACUACAUCCAAACACAGUGCUGAUCCUAGAUCAGUUUUAAGGGCUCAUAUCAUCAUAUGAUCUAAUUUCUCACUUUUAAUGCACAAUGUGGUAGAAAUUAGCACUGGUGUUUGCUUUUCAGGACUGAACUGUGUGUUUAUAAGGAAUGAAAGGACUGGAUGUAAUGAUUUGUGUACAUUUUUCUCUUUGAUUUAGCUUCAGUCCAGAACAAAUAAAUGUGAUGGUCACUGUGUGUGUGUGAGUCUCUUCAGGCCUGAUGGAGUCUGAGCUAUUCACACAGGCACUGUAGCAUUUCUGUUCCUUAUUUCAUUCUAGCUUUAUUAAACUCUCAUGUACUGAGAUUACAUUUCCAGGAACGUAAUAAUAAAUAGAAUAACAUGAUAGAAA